Sapajus apella (tufted capuchin) is the source of this 342-nucleotide RNA transcript. It is a transcript of the gene named anaphase-promoting complex subunit 13 pseudogene, with no coding region annotated. NCBI's taxonomy places the organism in Eukaryota, Metazoa, Chordata, Mammalia, Primates, Cebidae. The transcript has a single exon. The record is from RefSeq and is a predicted model, not a curated record.
CCGCAGGAAGCGUCAGCCGCUUGUGCUGGAUAGCGAAUUUGACAAGAUCAAAGCUGCAGGAAAAUGGACAGUGAGGUUCAGAGAGAUGGAAGGAUCUUGGAUUUGAUUGAUGAUGCUUGGCGAGAAGACAAGCUGCCUUAUGAGGAUGUCGCAAUACCACUGAAUGAGCUUCCUGAACCUGAACAAGACAAUGGUGGCACCACAGAAUCUGUCAAAGAACAAGAAAUGAAGUGGACAGACUUAGCUUUACAGUAACUCCAUGAGAACGUGCCCCCCAUUGGAAACUGACACUUGGCUCCUUUCUUGCUGACGAAUUUUCUAAAAGUACACAGAUAAAAAAUG